Molecule: ribosomal RNA, 443 nt
Filed under: uncultured bacterium
Lineage: Bacteria
Description: partial 16S ribosomal RNA
Rfam family: Bacterial small subunit ribosomal RNA
Source: RNAcentral
CCUACGGGAGACAGCAGUGGGGAAUAUUGGGCAAUGGAGGCAACUCUGACCCAGCAACGCCGCGUGAAUGAUGAAGGUCUUCGGAUUGUAAAGUUCUGUGAUGGGGGGUGAACACAAUGACGGUACCCCAAUAGCAAGCCACGGCUAACUACGUGCCAGCAGCCGCGGUAAUACGUAGGUGGCAAGCGUUAUCCGGAAUGACUGGGCGUAAAGGGUGCGUAGGUGGUUUAGUAAGUUGGCGGUGAAAUUCCGGGGCUCAACCUCGGCGCUACCGCCAAAACUAUUAGACUAGAGUGCAGGAGCGGUAAGUGGAAUGUAUAGUGUAGCGGUGAAAUGCGUAGAGAUUAGGCGGAACACCAGUGGCGAAGGCGGCUUGCUGGACUGUAACUGACGUUGAGGCUCGAAAGCGUGGGGAGCAAACAGGAUUAGAUACCCUGGUAGUC